RNAcentral lists this ribosomal RNA (108 nucleotides) under Lepisosteus oculatus (spotted gar). The record is from RNAcentral. Lineage: Eukaryota; Metazoa; Chordata; Actinopteri; Semionotiformes; Lepisosteidae.
GCCAGCAGCUAGAUCACCCUGCAGCCCCACACUGGAGCUCAGCAGGCGUGAGCCUGGCCAGUACCUGGAAGGGAGACCUCCUGGGAAAAACUAAGGUUGCUGCUGGAA